RNAcentral lists this ribosomal RNA (499 nucleotides) under uncultured bacterium. RNAcentral describes it as "partial 16S ribosomal RNA". It matches the Rfam family "Bacterial small subunit ribosomal RNA", at positions 30 to 522 of the family's 1533-position model. The record is from RNAcentral.
AUUGAACGCUGGCGGCAUGCCUUACACAUGCGAGUCGAACGGCAGCACGGGAGCAAUCCUGGUGGCGAGUGGCGAACGGGUGAGUAAAGUAUCGGAACGUGCCCAGUCGUGGGGGACAACGUAGCGAAAGUUACGCUAAUACCGCAUACGAUCUAUGGAUGAAAGCGGGGGAUCGCAAGACCUCGCGCGAUUGGAGCGGCCGAUAUCAGAUUAGAUAGUUGGUGGGGUAAAGGCUCACCAAGCCGACGAUCUGUAGCUGGUCUGAGAGGACGACCAGCCACACUGGGACUGAGACACGGCCCAGACUCCUACGGGAGGCAGCAGUGGGGAAUUUUGGACAAUGGGCGAAAGCCUGAUCCAGCCAUGCCGCGUGCAGGAUGAAGGCCUUCGGGUUGUAAACUGCUUUUGUACGGAACGAAAAGGUUUGGCCUAAUAAGCUGAGCUCAUGACGGUACCGUAAGAAUAAGCACCGGCUAACUACGUGCCAGCAGCCGCCUAA